UAGAAACAAUUCUGGCCAAACUUGUGAA
Molecule: small RNA, 28 nt
Filed under: Bombyx mori (domestic silkworm)
Lineage: Eukaryota; Metazoa; Arthropoda; Insecta; Lepidoptera; Bombycidae
Description: ovarian small RNA-21743
Source: RNAcentral